RNAcentral lists this ribosomal RNA (551 nucleotides) under uncultured Glomeromycotina. RNAcentral describes it as "SSU rRNA". It matches the Rfam family "Eukaryotic small subunit ribosomal RNA", at positions 548 to 1098 of the family's 1831-position model. The record is from RNAcentral. Lineage: Eukaryota; Fungi; Glomeromycota.
UUGGAGGGCAAGUCUGGUGCCAGCAGCCGCGGUAAUUCCAGCUCCAAUAGCGUAUAUUAAAGUUGUUGCAGUUAAAAAGCUCGUAGUUGAACUUCGGGGUUUACCCAUUGGUCAGGCUUAAUUGUCUGUACUGGUGAGAUAAAUCUCUACCUUCUGGGGAACUUUCAUGCCAUUUAGUUGGUGUGAUAGGAAAUCAGGACUGUUACUUUGAAAAAAUUAGAGUGUUUAAAGCAGGCUAACGUCUGAAUACAUUAGCAUGGAAUAAUGAAAUAGGACGGAUUGGUUCUAUUUCGUUGGUUUCUAGGAUCACCGUAAUGAUUAAUAGGGAUAGUUGGGGGCAUUAGUAUUCAAUUGUCAGAGGUGAAAUUCUUGGAUUUAUUGAAGACUAACUAUUGCGAAAGCAUUUGCCAAGGAUGUUUUCAUUAAUCAAGAACGAAAGUUAGGGGAUCGAAGACGAUCAGAUACCGUCGUAGUCUUAACCAUAAACUAUGCCGACUAGGGAUCGGACGAAGUUAAUUUUAUAAUGACGCGUUCGGCGCCUUACGGGAAAC